This 82-nucleotide transfer RNA is filed under the name Ixodes scapularis (black-legged tick). RNAcentral describes it as "tRNA-Ser". It matches the Rfam family "tRNA". From Rfam's summary of the family: Transfer RNA (tRNA) molecules are approximately 80 nucleotides in length. Their secondary structure includes four short double-helical elements and three loops (D, anti-codon, and T loops). Lineage: Eukaryota; Metazoa; Arthropoda; Arachnida; Ixodida; Ixodidae. The record is from RNAcentral.
CUCGUCGUGGCCGAGUGGUUAAGGCGAUGGAUUAGAAAUCCAUUGCGGUCUCCCCGCUCAGGUUCGAAUCCUGUCGACUGCG